This 515-nucleotide ribosomal RNA is filed under the name uncultured bacterium. RNAcentral's name for it is "partial 16S ribosomal RNA". It matches the Rfam family "Bacterial small subunit ribosomal RNA", at positions 28 to 523 of the family's 1533-position model. The record is from RNAcentral.
GAUGAACGCUGGCGGCGUGCCUAAUACAUGCGAGUCGAGCGAAUGGAUUAAGAGCUUGCUCUUAUGAAGUUAGCGGCGGACGGGUGAGUAACACGUGGGUAACCUGCCCAUAAGACUGGGAUAACUCCGGGAAACCGGGGCUAAUACCGGAUAACAUUUUGAACCGCAUGGUUCGAAAUUGAAAGGCGGCUUCGGCUGUCACUUAUGGAUGGACCCGCGUCGCAUUAGCUAGUUGGUGAGGUAACGGCUCACCAAGGCAACGAUGCGUAGCCGACCUGGGGGGGUGAUCGGCCACACUGGGGCUGCGACACGGCCCAGACUCCUACGGGAGGCAGCAGUAGGGAAUCUUCCGCAAUGGACGAAAGUCUGACGGAGCAACGCCGCGUGAGUGAUGAAGGCUUUCGGGUCGUAAAACUCUGUUGUUAGGGAAGAACAAGUGCUAGUUGAAUAAGCUGGCACCUUGACGGUACCUAACCAGAAAGCCACGGCUAACUACGUGCCAGCCGCCGCCGUAA